RNAcentral lists this ribosomal RNA (255 nucleotides) under uncultured bacterium. RNAcentral describes it as "partial 16S ribosomal RNA". It matches the Rfam family "Bacterial small subunit ribosomal RNA", at positions 524 to 777 of the family's 1533-position model. The record is from RNAcentral.
UACGGGGGGGGGCGAGCGUUGUCCGAAGUUACUGGGCGUAAAGCGCGUGUAGGCGGGUUGUUAAGUCCGCUGUGAAAGCCCGGUGCUCAACGCCGGAGGGUCGGUGGAUACUGGCAGUCUUGAAGUGGCUAGGGGGAAAUGGAAUUACCGGUGUAGCGGUGAAAUGCGUAGAUAUCGGUAGGAACACCAGUGGCGAAGGCGGUUUCCUGGAGCCCACUUGACGCUGAGACGCGAAAGCUGGGGGAGCAAACGGGG